RNAcentral lists this unclassified non-coding RNA (196 nucleotides) under uncultured Cyphellophora. Its description in RNAcentral is "sequence contains ITS1". The record is from RNAcentral. Lineage: Eukaryota; Fungi; Ascomycota; Eurotiomycetes; Chaetothyriales; Herpotrichiellaceae.
CCGAGUUAGGGUACUCUUCGUGCCCGACCUCCAACCCUUUGUCUACCCGACCAAAUGUUGCUUCGGCAGGCCCGCCGCCCCGUGAGGGCGGCCGCCGGGGGUCUUUACCGACCUCGGGUCCGCGCCUGCCGAUGGCCCAUUCUAAAACUCUUGCUUAAAACGUGUCGUCUGAGUAUAACAAACAAAAAUUAAAACA